Molecule: ribosomal RNA, 253 nt
Filed under: uncultured bacterium
Lineage: Bacteria
Description: partial 16S ribosomal RNA
Rfam family: Bacterial small subunit ribosomal RNA
Source: RNAcentral
UACGUAGGUGGCGAGCGUUGUCCGGAUUUAUUGGGCGUAAAGGGCGCGCAGGUGGUGCGGUAAGGCUGCCGUGAAAUCUCCCGGCUCAACUGGGAGGGUGCGGUGGCGACUGCCGGACUGGGGGCACUCAGAGGCCGGUGGAAUUCCCGGUGUAGUGGUGAAAUGCGUAGAGAUCGGGAGGAACACCAGUGGCGAAGGCGGCCGGCUGGGGGUGACCUGACGCUGAGGCGCGAAAGCUAGGGGAGCAAACAGG